Molecule: ribosomal RNA, 504 nt
Filed under: Candidatus Beckwithbacteria bacterium
Lineage: Bacteria; Candidatus Beckwithiibacteriota
Description: partial 23S ribosomal RNA
Rfam family: Bacterial large subunit ribosomal RNA
Source: RNAcentral
GGGACAGUGUCUGGGAGGUAGUUUCGCUGGGGAGGUGGUUUGCUAAAAAGUACCGCAAACGCGCAAAGGUACCCUUAGCGCGGAUAGAAAUCGCGCUGAAAGUGUAAAGGCAAAAGGGUGCUUGACUGUGACACUUACAAGUGAAGCAGGAGCGAAAGCUGGCCUUAGUGAUCCUCGAAUCCGUUGUGGAACGGAUCGGGCUUAUCGGAUAAAAGCUNNNNNNNNNNNUCGGUCUCUAUCCGCAGUCAACGUUGGAUUCUUGAGGGAAGCUGACCUCAGUACGAGAGGACCAGGUUGGGCCAGUCCCUAGUGUGCCGGUUGUCGCAUCAGCGGCACUGCCGGGUAGCUACACUGGUUCGGGAUAACCGCUGAAAGCAUCUAAGCGGGAAGCCCAUCCCAAGAUGAGGAAUCCCAUUAAGAUCCCUGGGAGACUACCAGGUGAUAGGCAGCCGGUGUAAGUGCCGUAAGGCAUUUAGCCUAGCUGUACUAAUCGAUCGAUCGAAA